AACGCGAAGAACCUUACCCAGGCUUGACAUCCUUGGAAGCUCUACGAAAGUAGAGUGUGCUUUUAGAGCCAAGUGACAGGUGAUGCAUGGCCGUCGUCAGCUCGUGUCGUGAGAUGUUUGGUUAAGUCCAUCAACGAGCGCAACCCUUGUGAUUAGUUGAAUUUUUCUAAUCAGACUGCCCUGGUAACAGGGAGGAAGGAGGGGAUGAUGUCAGGUCAGUAUUUCCCUUACGUCUGGGGCUACAAACACGCUACAAUGGCCGGUACAAAGGGCAGCCAAGUCGCAAGACGGAGCAAAUCCCAUCAAAGCCGGUCCCAGUUCGGAUAGCAGGCUGAAACUCGCCUGCUUGAAGUCGGAAUCGCUAGUAACGGUAGGUCAGCUAUACUACCGUGAAUACGUUCCCGGGCCUUGUACACACCGACAUA
RNAcentral lists this ribosomal RNA (425 nucleotides) under uncultured bacterium. RNAcentral's name for it is "bacterial SSU rRNA". It matches the Rfam family "Bacterial small subunit ribosomal RNA", at positions 958 to 1397 of the family's 1533-position model. The record is from RNAcentral.